RNAcentral lists this long non-coding RNA (478 nucleotides) under Homo sapiens (human). RNAcentral describes it as "LHRI_LNC324.1". The record is from RNAcentral. Lineage: Eukaryota; Metazoa; Chordata; Mammalia; Primates; Hominidae.
GGCUGGAGUGCGGUGGUGUGAUCUCGACUCACUGCAACCUCUGCCUCCCUGGUUCAAGCAAUUCUCCGGCCUCAGCCUCCCAAGUAGCUGGGAUUACAGGUGCUCGCUGCCAUGCCCAGCUAAUUUUUUUGUAUUUUAGUAGAGAAAGGGUUUCACCUUGUUGCCUAGGCUGAUCUUGAACUCCUGAACUCAGGCAAUCUGUCUGCCUCAGCCUCCCAAAGUGCUGGGAUUACAGGCGUGAGCCACUGCGCCCGGCCCAAAAAUCCAUCUUUGUGGGUUCCUUUGUAAAUGUGUAGUCAAUUUAGAAAUUUAGAAACACGGUUUCCCUUAAGCCUUUAUUUAGUUACAAUCACAACUAACAUGUUACUUAUACACCUGGCAAAGUGAAACAUCAAAAAAUUAAUUCAGGGCCUGGCCUCAGGCCUGUAAUCCCAGCACUUUGGGAUGCCAAGGCAGACGGAUCACUUGAGGUCAGGAG